AUUGAACGCUGGCGGCAGGCCUAACACAUGCAAGUCGAGCGGAUGAAGGGAGCUUGCUCCUGGAUUCAGCGGCGGACGGGUGAGUAAUGCCUAGGAAUCUGCCUGGUAGUGGGGGAUAACGUCCGGAAACGGGCGCUAAUACCGCAUACGUCCUGAGGGAGAAAGUGGGGGAUCUUCGGACCUCACGCUAUCAGAUGAGCCUAGGUCGGAUUAGCUAGUUGGUGGGGUAAAGGCCUACCAAGGCGACGAUCCGUAACUGGUCUGAGGGGAUGAUCAGUCACACUGGAACUGAGACACGGUCCAGACUCCUACGGGAGGCAGCAGUGGGGAAUAUUGGACAAUGGGCGAAAGCCUGAUCCAGCCAUGCCGCGUGUGUGAAGAAGGUCUUCGGAUUGUAAAGCACUUUAAGUUGGGAGGAAGGGCAGUAAGUUAAUACCUUGCUGUUUUGACGUUACCGACAGAAUAAGCACCGGCUAACUUCGUG
This 484-nucleotide ribosomal RNA is filed under the name uncultured bacterium. RNAcentral's name for it is "partial 16S ribosomal RNA". It matches the Rfam family "Bacterial small subunit ribosomal RNA", at positions 30 to 507 of the family's 1533-position model. The record is from RNAcentral.